This 252-nucleotide ribosomal RNA is filed under the name uncultured bacterium. RNAcentral describes it as "partial 16S ribosomal RNA". It matches the Rfam family "Bacterial small subunit ribosomal RNA", at positions 524 to 776 of the family's 1533-position model. The record is from RNAcentral.
GACAGAGGGGGCUAGCGUUGUUCGGAAUGACUGGGCGUAAAGGGUGCGUAGGCGGUCCUACAAGUAAAAUGUUAAAUGCCUGAGCUUAACUCAGGUCUGCAUUUUAAACUGUAGGACUCGAGAUCGAAAGAGGAAAGUGGAAUUCCUAGUGUAGAGGUGAAAUUCGUAGAUAUUAGGAGGAACGCCAAAGGCGAAAGCAGCUUUCUGGUUCGUAUCUGACGCUGAGGCACGAAAGCGUGGGGAGCAAACAGG